CCUCGUGUGUGAAGCGUAGUCUUGUCUCUCUCCCUCGUGUGUGAAGCGUAGUCUUGUCUCUCUCCCUCGUGUGUGAAGCGUAGUCUUGUCUCUCUCCCUCGUGUGUGAAGCGUAGUCUUGUCUCUCUCCCUCGUGUGUGAAGCGUAGUCUUGUCUCUGUUGGAGUGAGCGGUGAUGGAGUGAUGGAGUGAGCGGUGAUGGAGUGUUGGAGUGUUGGAGUGAGCGGUGUUGGAGUGAGGAGUGUUGGGGUGUUAGAGUGUUGGAGUGUUGGAGUGAUGGAGUGUUGGAGUGUUGGAGUGUUGGACUGAGCAGUGAGCGGUGAUGGAGUGAUGGAGUGUUGGAGUGAGUAGUGUUGGAGUGAUAGUGUUGAAGUGAGCGGUGAUGGAGUGUUGGAGUGAGCUGGGUUGGAGUGAUGGAUGAAGUGAUGGAGUGAUGGAGUGUUGGAGUGUUGGAGUGUUGGAGUGAGCGGUGUUGGAGUGUUGGAGUGAGCGGUGAUGGAGUGUUGGAGUGUUGGAGUGAGGAGUGUUGGAGUGAGCGGUGAUGGAGUGUUGGAGUGAUGGAGUGAUGGAGUGUUGGAGUGAGCUGGGUUGGAGUGAUGGAGUGAGUGGUGAUGGAGUGAUGGAGUGAUGGAGUGAGCGGUGAUGGAGUGUUGGAGUGAGCGGUGAUGGAGUGUUGGAGUGAGCAGUGAUGGAGUGUUGGAGUGAGCGGUGUUGGAGUGAUGGAUGAUGGAGUGUUGGAGUGAUGGAGUGUUGGAGUGUUGGAGUGAUGGAGUGUUGGAGUGAGCGGUGUUGGAGUGUUGGAGUGAGCGGUGAUGGAGUGUUGGAGUGAGGAGUGUUGGAGUGAGCGGUGAUGGAGUGUUGGAGUGUUGGAGUGAGCAGUGUUGGAGUGAGCGGUGAUGGAGUGAGCGGUGAUGGAGUGUUGGAGUGAGCGGUGAUGGAGUGUUGGAGUGAGCGGUGAGGAGUGAGCAGUGAAGCUGAAGUGAUGUGAGUGUAUCACCCCUGAUGAUGUG
Clupea harengus (Atlantic herring) is the source of this 1008-nucleotide long non-coding RNA. The record is from Ensembl. NCBI's taxonomy places the organism in Eukaryota, Metazoa, Chordata, Actinopteri, Clupeiformes, Clupeidae.